CAGUCGCCGCGGUAAUACGGAGGGUGCAAGCGUUAAUCGGAAUUACUGGGCGUAAAGCGCACGCAGGCGGUCUGACAAGUCAGAUGUGAAAUCCCCGGGCUUAACCUGGGAACUGCAUUUGAAACUGUCAGGCUGGAGUCUUGUAGAGGGGGGUGGAAUUCCAGGUGUAGCGGUGAAAUGCGUAGAGAUCUGGAGGAAUACCGGUGGCGAAGGCGGCCCCCUGGACAAAGACUGACGCUCAGGUGCGAAAGCGUGGGGAGCAAACAGGAUUAGAUACCCGGGUAGUCCUGUCUCUUAUACA
Molecule: ribosomal RNA, 301 nt
Filed under: uncultured bacterium
Lineage: Bacteria
Description: partial 16S ribosomal RNA
Rfam family: Bacterial small subunit ribosomal RNA
Source: RNAcentral